RNAcentral lists this unclassified non-coding RNA (338 nucleotides) under soil metagenome. RNAcentral describes it as "partial contains 5.8S ribosomal RNA, internal transcribed spacer 2, and large subunit ribosomal RNA". The stretch from base 1 to 120 matches the Rfam family "5.8S ribosomal RNA", at positions 35 to 154 of the family's 154-position model. The record is from RNAcentral.
GAUGAAGAACGCAGCGAAAUGCGAUAAGUAGUGUGAAUUGCAGAAUUCAGUGAAUCAUCGAAUCUUUGAACGCACAUUGCGCCCUUUGGUAUUCCUUAGGGCAUGCCUGUUCGAGCGUCAUCUAAACCUUCAAGCUCAGCUUGGUGAUGGGCGACUGUCCCCCCCCCUCGCGGGGGGGACUCGCCUCAAAAACAUUGGCGGCCGGUACAUUGGCUUCGAGCGCAGCAGAAACGCGGUCUCGAGCCCGGUGGAUCGGCUCCCAUAAGCCUAUUCUUUUAUUUUGACCUCGGAUCAGGUAGGGAUACCCGCUGAACUUAAGCAUAUCAAUAAGCGGAGGA